RNAcentral lists this long non-coding RNA (2010 nucleotides) under Gossypium raimondii (Peruvian cotton). RNAcentral describes it as "long non-coding RNA (GRAI_LNC008926)". Lineage: Eukaryota; Viridiplantae; Streptophyta; Magnoliopsida; Malvales; Malvaceae. The record is from RNAcentral.
CCAUUUUUAAGAGCUUGAGGUUCGGUCCUUGCAUAUCAAGAACAAAAUCAACUAAAACUUAGUCGAGGAAAAUGGAAUAUUGUAGACUAGUCCCUGACACCUUGUUUAUUAUCAUUUUUCUAGGUAAGUUCAUAAAAUGUAGUAUAUGUAUAUGUAUAUGUAAUUGAGAUGUUAUGAUUGAAUUAUAUAUUGUGUUGAUUGAAUAUGCUCUGAAUUUAUAUACAAAUUGGUACAAAAAAGUGAGGAAUGGAUUGAAUUACAAUAAAUGAUAUUGUUGUGUAAGUUGUGCUCAAAUGAACGAUAGGAUAGGAUACAAUUGGCAUACCAAUAGGGUUAUUUGCGCAUUGUAUGGGAUUAUAGGUAGAUGUGAUUGACGAAUGAUAAUAUUUUGAUUAUACCAGAAUCUAACAUUUGUUGUGGAUUACCGAAUUUGUCUCAAUACAAACCACUGCUACUGAUUAUCUCUACAGAUAUCCAGGUGUGUUUUGGAGGGAUGUGUAGCCUACAGGCUUAGCACUUCAGUGCUCAGGUGUGUUUUGGUGGUUACCCGCGUAUCCGUAUAUGUUUAUUGUAGUUCAUCGGGCUUAAAGGUGCAGAUGAAAACUUAUGUGACUGUUGAUAUGUAUAUGAUGUGAAUGGAAAAUUGUUAUAUUGAUUGAAUGGAUAUAAUAGUGGAUAUGUUUGAUAAAUCGAAGUAAAUGGUAUUAGAAUGUGUUAUGCUGAUUUGAUUCAAAUGUUAUAUGAAUUGCAAAUAAGUUACUCACCGUAUAUUUGUGAAUUGUGAAAACAAUAUAUUAUGUAUCUAGAUAUUCUAUUUAGUUAAUGUAUAUCAAGGUGAGUUAAUGUUCUAAACUAUGGACUUCUUAAGCAUUGAAAUGCUUACUCGAUUAUGUUUCUGUUUCGUAGUCAUCUUUAGCUGUAACACCCCAAAACUUUAAUUUUGGGAAUUGUGAAUGUGUGACACAAAAUAUUUGUCUUCUUUAGUGGUUAUGUGUUCUGGAUGUGUUUGGGAGGUCCCAAGUUCAAGCCAGAACUUGGGAAAAUUUUAGUAUUUUUAUGAAUAAGCUCUAUCUUUGGUCAAUAGGUUUUUAAGUAAAAGUUGGCAAAUAAUUAAUAGAAUAAGUUUGCUGGUCUGGUGGAUAAGUGGAGUGUUGGUGUGAAGAAGGUCCUGUGUUCGAAUCUUGGCGUGGGCAUUAUUUUUGCUCGUGCGUCUAAGAGAGUUUGAGAUGGACUAAAAAUAUGAGUAGUGGAUUUAGUGGGGAGUUUGAUGGAGAGAAAUAAGGGAUUGGAGUGGUUAUCAAAUAUUUUGUUCAUCUUUUUUUUCCUUUUUUUUUACUUUCCCCAAAAUCCCUCUACCCUCUUGCCAUUUUCUCUUCAUUGCUACCGAAUUUAUGCUCUCUUUCACACUUCAUCUUCUUGAUUUUUCUUUUCUCACUCUGCCUCUUGUCGCUCCACGUUUGUCUGUAAUCGUUCGGUAAGUUUUAGAUAAGUGAUUUGUCUCCAUUUGUAACUUUUUUCUGAAGCGUUUUGUUUAUGCCAAUUAGGGAGGAUUCAAGGGCUCGUAAUCACCAAUCAAAGUUUUAGUUUGUGUGGCAAUUAUUGUUCAUCGGUUGAAGGUAAGGUUUAGUCGCUUAUGGGUUAAAAUCUCGAUAUGAGUUAGAUUUGGGAUCACUUUAUGUGAGAUUAAAAUAGUGUUAUUUGUUCAAUUAUAGGCUUUGGAGUGCCCUGGGAUUAUUUUAGCAUCAAACAAAACCAGGUGUGUACCAGAAAUGCAGAAAAUGGGAUUAGUUUGUGUGGCAAUUAUUGUUCAUCGGUUGAAGGUAAGGUUUAGUCGCUUAUGGGUUAAAAUCUCGAUACGAGUUAGAUUUGGGAUCACUUUAUGUAAGAUUAAAAUAGUGUUAUUUGUUCAAUUAUAGGCUUUGGAGUGCCCGGGGAUUAUUUUAGCAUCAAACAAAACCAGGUGUGUACCAGAAACGCAGAAAAUGGGAUUCGGCGAAAAGCCGAAAUUGC